AUACAUCCUAACCUUGGCGGAGAUUCGGCUCGCUCGAUUGGAAACAGUAAUUGCCCAUACCCACUGUAUAUCAUUCAUAAAGAAAAACAAACCAUAGGAACCCUUCAAUAUCACGAGAUAAUCUAUUCCUUCAUGGAAGUCCUCAUUUGAACGGAAAAUUUAGUGACUGUUUUUAAUUUGGGAUUUUCAUACCUAUAGGCAUUAAUGAUGGAGAUAACAGUCAAAUUUAAGUUAUUUGAAGCAAACAGCAGUGUCGCUUAAGUGCACAUUAAUUGCUAGAACCAACCGGAGCUGAAUGUAAAUUUCCAGGUACAUGUAUGAAUUAUGAAGGACUCCUCCGAGAUUCGGUGGCCAUUUUCCAAAUUUCCAGCCCAGCCGAAUCGCCCGCUAUAUUGUCCAAAUAUAGAUAAAUCUUGUUUGAAAUGUCAUAUGUGUUUCCCCAGUGUUCAAAAUUAGUUUAAAACUUGGUAUAGACAACAGGGCUAUGCCAAAACAAGAUGACAUAGACCUCAUAAAAUUGACAUUGACCGCAACAUUGAAAAAAAUAACACAAAUUUAAAACAUUGUUAUUUAUUUCUAAUGUGCUUAGAAAACAUAUUUUCUUUCCAUUCCCAUAACAAUGUCCUUCUUUCCUCGUAACGUUUAUCAGAUGUCGACUUUUAGAAUAACUCUAUUGCUUUAAACCUAGAAAAUCUGCAUAGACAAUUUGGUCUAUCCCAAUUACAAUUGGCAUAGACCAGUGUCAUUUGACAUAGAUUCGGUCUAUGGUUAAUUUCGAACACUGUUUCCCUAGCUUAAAAUACUCAUGAACUAUUGAGAUAUUUGCCUACUAUUACAUAUUAAUAAAAAACACUUUAUUUUGUUCUCACUAGAUAGUGACGAUUGAACUAAGGAAAAUUUAAAAUGCUGAAAUUAAAAGGAAGAAAAAAGAAAUUCAAGCCGAAAACAAGAAGAAAUAAAGAAGCAAUAAUAGACUCAAACCAGCAAUCUUUGCAAAUGCAAGAAUGUAGAAUCCAGCAGUAAUUACGUGCCCGAGUCCUGCAGUUCGAAUGUUCCAGUACUCGUCGGGAACACUUCUGGACCUAGCAGUAUGCUUAAGACUACUACAUCAAUCAGCAACACACCUGUACCAGUCAGCAACUUGAAAGAACCCUGCUAUACUCGUGUGUCUGUGCCAUACAAUAACUCAGUUGUACUUAAUGGUCAAGAUGUGUUAACCUCUGUCAGGAACACCCCAGUGCCUUGCAGUUAAAAUAAGCCUGUGCCAGUAAGCAACUCGAAAGAACCCUACUGUCAUCCUUGUGUGCUUGUGCCAAAUAACAAAAUUUCGAAUAUAAUUCUUUGAGAUUUAUUUUUAAUCAACUGCUCUAAUAAUGAUGACUGUGCUAUUCAAAAUCUCAACACUCUUAGCCUAUGGUCUUUUCUCAAAGAUUCAGUGUUUGAUGAUUUGUGGAUUCAAAGGAGAGUAUAUAUAUAUAUAUUAUUUGCUGUGGUUCGGAAUUACCAUAGUGCUUAACAGUAAUCUUAUUACAGUUUAUUUCUAGUCAUCAUGAUCUAUUGUUUUAAAAUAUUAAUUAAGCUCUGAUUUUAAUUGUAUAAUUUCAUUUUGAUUAUGUUUAUAACCUAAAUUCAAAUCUUUGUCAGAAAUAAAUCUGUUAUGUUAUUUUGCUUUUUACAUAUCUAUACACAUGGGGGUGGGGUCGGGGGGAUGGAUGCACAUCGAUGGGCUGAUAUAAUUUUUUAUCUUUCUAUUUCAAAUUGGUAUAAUUGUCAAUUUGUGAAAUAUUACAUGAUAACUGUUGUAAGUUUCAUAUAAUGUCCAAAAAUUGUUACAGAUAUAGCACCCCCUUGUAAUUAACCUUUAACAAAUUUACUCUAUGGGACAUAAAGUUAAACUGACAAAUCAUUGGAAAAAAUUCAACUCUACUCCAUGAAGUGUAUUUAAAUUUUAAUAUCACAUGUAUAAUGUGUCUAUUUUUUAUCAUUUUAAAUUUUUUUUUGCAUCCUUAGGAUUAUUAUGAAUUUGUGUUAAUUACUUAUUGAACUACAUAUUACAUAUAUUAUGUAUAAACAUUAGAAAUAUUUAAAACUACUGUACAUCUGUACAAUAUCCUUUGUUAGUUAUGUGAUUAUUAUUAAUGUACUUGUCAACUGAUGAAAAUUUUAAGCUGUUACACAGGCAUAAUUAUGUAUUGUUAAAUACAGUUCCAAUUUUCAAAUACCUGUCAGUUAUUGUGUUCAUUAUUUUUUCAAUCUUGUAUUCCGUUAUAGGAGUUGCUAAAUAUGCAGGUCACAACUAGACUCCUAAUGUAAUUUUUUUGCCUUGGCUGUUGAUGAGGCGUAUUUUCGCUAAAGACGUAUUUCCUAAUUGAGGCGUACUUUCUACAAUUGGAGGGUUUUUGUACGGGUGUAUUUUCGCUAGAGACGUAUUUCCUAGUUGAGGCGUAUUUUCUUUUUAAAGGCGUACUUCUUAAUCUAGACGUACUAAUUUGCAUAAUUCAAGCUAAAUUACGCCAGGAGUACGCCUCAGGUACGCCAGUAUUUUCCAUAGGAUUUGCUGUUAAAAAUCUACCAGGACUUUCAGAAUUAUGGGUACGCCAGGAAAUUUUACAAAUUACGUGAGCUAAUUUUCGUACGGGUACAUAUUACAUAUAUCUAUCUUUCAUGAUUAAAUCAUUUUGUACUGAUCUAAGAUACUGUACUUUUUCAACGUUUAUUGAGCCACCUUAAGGUUGAUCGAUCCUCAUGAGAUGUCAUAGGUAUUUUGCAAACAUCUUAAUAAAUUAAACUUAGCACAUGGUAGAACUAUAUCUUUCUAAGGAAUUUUAUUAACUGGAUGAUAACAAAUCUGGAAAACUAUUAAUACUGAAAAAGUUUAUAAUCCCCAUAGAUAAUUAAUUAUUUAUGGUUUAAAAAAAUGUUGUCAAGGGCAAUAACUCCUUUGCUGGAAUUUCCUCUACUGGAUGUCUAUUAUACAUCAGUUUCCCUGAUAUCCACAAUUAAUCUAUACAUAUUUAUGAAUUAGCAGUUUUAUUUAAAUUUGUUGUUAGUUAAAUUUUGUCAUUUAAACAAGUUUUUAUCUAUUUUCAUUAUUCUGUUUAACGAAAAUGUGUGAUUUUCUGAUGUUGAUGUAUUCUUCUCUUUACGCAUGUUAAAAGGUGGCAACAUGAAAGGUGAAGAUAACAAUACAAACUAAAUAAUAGGGCAAACACGGACCCCUGGCCAUAGACAUACACAUUUUCUUUGGUUAUUAAGUAAAUUAAACUGUAUUGAGUGGAAAUUAAUGUUUUCCCACUUUUAACCAUCAAUAUUAAUAAGUCACAUGGGAAUGGAGCUACCUUAAAAGGAUUACCCUACAUAUUCCCACGAAUAAAUUUGAUCCCUUAUUGUGACCCCAAACUUGAGGACAUGAGAACUAUGACUUGAACGAUCUUCAGUGUACUUUAUCAUUUCUUUAUGUCAUAAAGCUUUCAUGUAAAUUUCCCAUUUUACUGACCCGGUG
Ostrea edulis (European flat oyster) is the source of this 3502-nucleotide long non-coding RNA. RefSeq lists it as uncharacterized. The record is from RefSeq and is a predicted model, not a curated record. The transcript is spliced from 2 exons. NCBI's taxonomy places the organism in Eukaryota, Metazoa, Mollusca, Bivalvia, Ostreida, Ostreidae.